AGUGUGGUAGUACAAUGGCAGAGCUGCGGUCUCCAAAACCGCCAAUGGGGGUUCGAAUCCCUCCCACCCUGCCA
RNAcentral lists this transfer RNA (74 nucleotides) under Kiritimatiellia bacterium. RNAcentral's name for it is "Kiritimatiellae bacterium (gut metagenome) tRNA-Trp". It matches the Rfam family "tRNA". Rfam says of the family: Transfer RNA (tRNA) molecules are approximately 80 nucleotides in length. The record is from RNAcentral. Lineage: Bacteria; Pseudomonadati; Kiritimatiellota; Kiritimatiellia.